UACGUAUGGAGCAAGCGUUAUCCGGAUUUACUGGGUGUAAAGGGAGCGUAGGCGGCGGGGCAAGUCUGAUGUGAAAACCCGGGGCUCAACCCCGGGACUGCAUUGGAAACUGUCCUGCUAGAGUGUCGGAGGGGUAAGUGGAAUUCCUAGUGUAGCGGUGAAAUGCGUAGAUAUUAGGAGGAACACCGGUGGCGAAGGCGGCUUACUGGACGACAACUGACGCUGAGGCUCGAAAGCGUGGGGAGCAAACAGG
RNAcentral lists this ribosomal RNA (253 nucleotides) under uncultured bacterium. RNAcentral describes it as "partial 16S ribosomal RNA". It matches the Rfam family "Bacterial small subunit ribosomal RNA", at positions 524 to 776 of the family's 1533-position model. The record is from RNAcentral.